GGAAACUGGACCGACCCUUCGGGGAGCUUGUACAGGUGCUGCAUGGCUGUCGUCAGCUCGUGUCGUGAGAUGUUCGGUUAAGUCCGCUAACGAGCGCAACCCUCGCUGUGUGUUACAAGUGUCACACGGAACUGCCGGUCAUAAACCGGAGGAAGGUGGGAUGACGUCAAGUCAGCAUGGCCUUUAUAUCCUGGGCUACACACACGCUACAAUGGGAAGGGACAAUAGGUUGCGAAGCCGCGAGGCGGAGCCAAUCCAGACAAAACUUCCCUCAGUUCAGAUUGCAGGCUGCAACUCGCCUGCAUGAAGUUGGAGUUGCUAAGUAAACGCAGGUCAGCCAUACUGCGUUGAAUACGUUCCGGGCUU
RNAcentral lists this ribosomal RNA (366 nucleotides) under uncultured Anaerolineaceae bacterium. Its description in RNAcentral is "bacterial SSU rRNA". It matches the Rfam family "Bacterial small subunit ribosomal RNA", at positions 1002 to 1377 of the family's 1533-position model. The record is from RNAcentral. Lineage: Bacteria; Bacillati; Chloroflexota; Anaerolineae; Anaerolineales; Anaerolineaceae.